This 254-nucleotide ribosomal RNA is filed under the name uncultured bacterium. RNAcentral describes it as "partial 16S ribosomal RNA". It matches the Rfam family "Bacterial small subunit ribosomal RNA", at positions 524 to 776 of the family's 1533-position model. The record is from RNAcentral.
UACGUAGGGUGCAAGCGUUGUCCGGAAUUAUUGGGCGUAAAGAGCUCGUAGGCGGUGUGUCGCGUCGGCCGUGAAAACCUGGGGCUCAACUCUGGGCGUGCGGUCGAUACGGGCAUCACUAGAGUUCGGCAGGGGAGACUGGAAUUCCUGGUGUAGCGGUGAAAUGCGCAGAUAUCAGGAGGAACACCGGUGGCGAAGGCGGGUCUCUGGGCCGAUACUGACGCUGAGGAGCGAAAGCAUGGGUAGCGAACAGG